RNAcentral lists this ribosomal RNA (492 nucleotides) under Triticum aestivum (bread wheat). RNAcentral's name for it is "partial small subunit ribosomal RNA". Lineage: Eukaryota; Viridiplantae; Streptophyta; Magnoliopsida; Poales; Poaceae. The record is from RNAcentral.
AUGGCCAUCUUCGACGAGUUCUACGUUGGGUCCAUCGACCUUGGGCGCCUCAACUAUGGGAUCAUUUCGCUCAUCCCCAAAGUGCUUGGGGCUUCCGACAUCCGCCAGUUCCGACCGAUCAUGGUAAUCAAUGUGAUCUUCCGGAUUCUCGCAAAAGGGUACGCCAAUAGGGUGACCCUGCUUGCCGACCACAUUACCCACCCCAACCAGUCCGCCUUCAUUCAAGGGCAGUAUAUCCUGGAUGGGGUGCUAGUACUUCAUGAAGUCCUCCAUGAGGUCCGGUCUAAACACCUCAGGGCGGUCUUCCUGAAGAUCGAUUUCCAUAAGGCAUACGACACUGUCAGUUGGUCCUUCCUUCAGGAAGUUCUGCUUCUGAAGGGCUUCGACGACCGUUGGAUCACCCCGAGUGAUGCAGAUAGUGUCCUGCGGUCGCACUGCCGUAAACAUCAAUGGGGAGAUCGGCCCUUACUUUCCCACCCUUUGUGGGGUUAG